Xiphophorus hellerii (green swordtail) is the source of this 1687-nucleotide long non-coding RNA. RefSeq lists it as uncharacterized. The record is from RefSeq and is a predicted model, not a curated record. Lineage: Eukaryota; Metazoa; Chordata; Actinopteri; Cyprinodontiformes; Poeciliidae. The transcript is spliced from 2 exons.
GGAAAAUUAUUGAUUUUGGUGCUUAAUGCAGUUAAUUUUAUGCAUGUGUAAAAGGGUAGGUUUGAUACUCUUGUUUUGAACCGGACACACAGGGGUUAGAAUGCAGAUCAUUAAAUGGGGCCGCUUGCAGCCCGGCCAGAUCACAGAAACAUAAAUUAACAUUCUUGCAGGCAGUUGGGGAGAACUGCUGGAGGCCAGCAUCUGCGAUGGUGUAAAACUAAUGCAAAAUAGAAGAUUGAAACCCCGUAACAUUUAACUUCUAAGUAUUAAUACCAUGUUCACUGAAGAUUGUAUUAUCUCAUAUUAAAAACUAUUAAAGGAUGAAUGUAUUUGAAAAACUGUAUUAUCUGUGACGAUAUUAGAACCAAAUGGAAAUUGUUUGUAUGAAAAUGUUUUCUUUACUAUUAGAAAAUGGCUCAGGAAUUAUACUCUAUUUUGUCCUGUAUAUUUUAUGUAUUAUUUUGGCAGAACUUAAUCUUUUGGGAGGCUGAGUGUGCAAAAGCAAAACUGGGGUUUGCAAAGAUAACAUUUUUUGAAAAUUACAAGAUGCAAGUCUCUUCGAGAACGUUAGGAGAGAUAAUGGAAGAGACGUCAGAUUUAUGGGUGUCUGCGAAAUCUUAUCUUAAGACUCUCGGCGCCAGGGACAUUCGUACCUGGUAUCGUCCAAGAUUAACUGGUCCGCCUUUGUCUCUCGAUAGAAACCAGACGCCUUUGGAACUUCGUUGUAAAUUGGGAGACUUCUCAAGUUUCCUGUAGUCCAUACGGGAGGUUAUAAUUGGUUAAAGAGUGGAACGCCUUAGUAGAAUAUAUUAAAUUGAAGAAACGCCCACUCAGUAUAAAACUUCAUGUAAAACGUUAAAAAUUCAGAAUGCUACCACUGUUUUGCUUUUUGGCAUAAUAAGCUUUCUCCAGAGACGCGUCUCUGCCCCUUUUGUUUCUUUGUGUUUCAUUUUCUAUUUCUCCUGUUACAGGUAAUGAAUAUAUCUCUGUAUCUCUGCAGCUUUGUUAUUGAUUGCUUUGUUAUGAAUUAAACUCCGUGAUCUGUGACGUCAACGCGCAGUGUCGUGGUUUCACUUCCUCCAGCCGCAGUCCGUCUGCCAGAGAUUCCGGGACUCUAAGGAAGGAGAGGCCAAACUUUUUGUCCAAAGUUAAAGUUAUAUUAUUCUUCCUUAAUAAUUGGGGGCUUCGUCCGGUUCUGAAGUUUUGGCAGGCGGAUCGGCCUGUUUCGGCUCGACGGCUUGAUGCGAUCCUGGCAGGGGAAUUUGUGAAAUAUCAGACGACACAGGAACGUCCCGGCUCACCACCCGUUCCGGGAAUCGACUGGGUGCGCCUGAAAGUCAUCAAAAGAAAGUGGUCGGAACCUCGCUUCACCGGACCAUACCGAGUCGUGGAGAGAACAUCUCAUGCUGUCCGUCUGCAAGGGAAAGGAGACACCUGGUUUCAUUGGAGUCAGUGCACAGCAGCCGAGGAGCCACAGCGUGCGCUCCGAGACAUACAAGAAGAUCUUCAGCUUCAAUCUUCGGACGAGGAGCAACGCCAGGCGCUUCCAGGAGGGAGUGUAGCAGGAAUUCCUGCCACAACCACUUCAAGUACCUGAAAUUCAAAGUUUAAAAGGCUCGGACAGGCAUAAUAAUCCUGUUCCGAUGUCCUUCUAUUGAGGAAAAAGGAGAUUUUAUAUUCUCCUUAA